UUGGCGGCCUAAAUUCUUUUCAGAGGAACUCGCAUCUUAAUCCGAUAAUCCCCGUUAAUUUUCUCUUUUUCUCAAAGUAUUUAUAUCGCCGUCUCAAGAUUAAACUAUAAAAUUUAAUCUCAAAUUUUAUUACAUCACGUCAGGUCGAGAUAAAGCCAAUAAAAAAGGGAGCCGAGUUACUUAUUCUUUUUAUUAAUGAUUCAAAUAUUCAAAAAUUUUGGAUUCCAGGAUUUGAUAGUAAUAUUACAAUAAUAUUCUCUUAUGAAAAAGUUCAUAAAGGUGUACAUAUCGCCCGUCACCCUCGUCUAAAGAUGAGGUAAGUCGUAACACAGUUAAUGUACUGGAAAGUGCAUUAAGGG
Molecule: ribosomal RNA, 359 nt
Filed under: Tapinauchenius violaceus
Lineage: Eukaryota; Metazoa; Arthropoda; Arachnida; Araneae; Theraphosidae
Description: partial 12S ribosomal RNA
Source: RNAcentral